GUGUCAGCAGCCGCGGUAAUACGGAGGAUCCGAGCGUUAUCCGGAUUUAUUGGGUUUAAAGGGUGCUCAGGCGGGGGGUUAAGUCGGCGGUGAAAUUUUGCAGCUCAACUGUAAAAGUGCCUUCGAAACUGGUUCCCUUGAGUGCGGAUGAGGUAGGCGGAAUUUGUGGUGUAGCGGUGAAAUGCAUAGAUAUCACGAGGAACUCCGAUUGCGCAGGCAGCUUACCAAGCCGUAACUGACGCUCAAGCACGAAGGCGUGGGGAUCAAACAGGAUUAGAUACCCUGGUAGUCCACGCAGUAAACGAUGAUUACUGGCUGUUUGCGAUAUAAUGUAAGCGGCUGAGCGAAAGCGUUAAGUAAUCCACCUGGGGAGUACGUUCGCAAGAAUGAAACUCAAAUAAAUUGACGG
This 409-nucleotide ribosomal RNA is filed under the name uncultured bacterium. Its description in RNAcentral is "bacterial SSU rRNA". It matches the Rfam family "Bacterial small subunit ribosomal RNA", at positions 505 to 916 of the family's 1533-position model. The record is from RNAcentral.